RNAcentral lists this long non-coding RNA (1407 nucleotides) under Salmo salar (Atlantic salmon). Its description in RNAcentral is "lncRNA (ENSSSAG00000084595.1)". Lineage: Eukaryota; Metazoa; Chordata; Actinopteri; Salmoniformes; Salmonidae. The record is from RNAcentral.
CCUUGUUUGAGGCUUCUACUGUGAAGUGGGGAUGAAUAAGAGCUCCUGGAGUCAGAUGACUGCCAGCAGGGCAUGAGCCUCAGCCAUGCGCACUGACGUGAGAGGUAGCUCAGUUCCAUUGCAUUUCUGAAGACAAAGGAUUUCUCCGGUUGAAACUUUAUUGCAGAUUUACGAUAAAAACAUCCUAAAGAUUGAUUCUAUACAUCGUUUGCCAUGUUUCUACGAACUGUAAUGGGAUUUUUUGAGUUUUCAUCUGACCUGCGCGUCGUGAAUUUGGAUUUGUGAACUGAAGGUGCGAACAAAAAGGAGGUAUUUGGACAUAAAGGAUGGACUUUAUCAAACAAAACAAACAUUUAUUGUUGAACUGGGAUUCCAGGGAGUGCAUUCUGAGGAAGAUCAUCAAAGGACCUGAGCCCUAGGACCAUGCCUCAGGACUACCUGGUAUGAUGACUCCUUGCUGUCCCCAGUCCACCUGGCCGUGCUGCUGCUCCAGUUUCAACUGUUCUGCCUGCGGCUAUGGAACCCUGACCUGUUCACCGGACGUGCUUGUUGCACUCUCGACAACUACUAUGAUUAUUAUUAUUUGACCAUGCUGGUCAUUUAUGAACAUUUUAACAUUUUAACAUCUUGACUAUGUUCUGUUAUAAUAUCCACCCUGCACAGCCAGAAGAGGACUGGCCACCCCUCAUAGCCUGGUUCCUCUCUAGGUUUCUUCCUAGGUUUUUGGCCUUUCUAGGGAGUUUUUCCUAGGGAGUUUUUCCUAGCCACCGUGCUUCUUUCACAUGCUUUGCUUGCUGUUUGGGGUUUUAGGCUGGGUUUCUGUACAGCACUUUGAGAAUAUCAGCUGAUGUACGAAGGGCUAUAUAAAAAUAAAUUUGAUUUGAUUUGAUUUUGAGCUUCAUAGGAUGUCAGUUUGUCAAAUUUCUGUCUUGCUAGAGAUGCCCCGGUCAACUGUAAGUGCUGUUAUUUGGAAGUGGAAACAUCUCGGAGCAACAACGGCUCAGGGGCAAAGUGGUAGGCCACACAAGUUAACAGAACGGGACCGCCAAGCGAACAAAUAGUCUGUCCUAGGUUGCAACACUCACUACUGAGUUCUAAACUGCCUCUGGAAGCAACGUCAGCACAAGAACUGUUCGUCGGGAGCUUCAUAACAUGGGUUUCCAUGGCCGAGCAGCCGCACACAAGCCUAAGAUCACCAUGUGCGAUGCCACGCAUUGGCUGGAGUAGUGUAAAGCACGCUGCCAUUGGACUCUGGAGCAGUGGAAACGCGUUCUCUGGAGUGAUGAAUCACGCUUCACAAUCUGGCAGUCCGGCGGAUGAAUCUGGGUUUGGCAGAUGCCAGGAGAACGCUACCUGCCCAAAUGCAGAGUGCCAACUGUAAAGUUUGGUGGAGGAGGAAUAAUGGUC